Molecule: long non-coding RNA, 603 nt
Organism: Bos taurus (domestic cattle)
Lineage: Eukaryota; Metazoa; Chordata; Mammalia; Artiodactyla; Bovidae
Source: Ensembl
AUGCUAUAGAGCAGGGGUGGGGUGGGGAGCUGUAUGGCGUGGCCUCCUUCACAAUGGGAGGGAAAAAGCUGGUGGAACCCAUGAUGCGUCGUCACCCAACCAUCAUGCAGACAAGGAAACCCACAUGGGUCACGUCACCUACCUGAGACCACAGGGCCACAGGUCCAGAGCAGGCAGAUUCUUAUACCCGCUGAGCCACCAGAGAAAAGACUCAUCAGAGGGGAACAAACAAGGCAGGAGGAGAGCUUCCCUAGGCCAAGCUCCUCAAGGAAAGAGGACCUCCCAAUCCCCCAGGAAGGUGUCCCUGAAGGCCUAGCAGUAGUCACAGCUGCCGUGGCUCUUCCCAGGGGCCUGGACAAGCAAUAGUGAAGUCGGAACCACAGAGGACCAGGAGUAAAUUCUGCACAGGAAUAGGAAUUACUCGAGAGCUGCCCACAGCCAAGGCCCUGAAGGCCCCAAGAGACCCCCUCCAGCACAGCGCCCUCCUCCUCUCCCUCCCCUGUGCCUUGAGCCACACCCAGACUUCAGCCUUGCCCCAGCCUCCUUGGUGCCUUCCUAACCACAGCUGAGAGGCCCAGAGCUGCACAGAUGUUGGUGUAGCUG